CCUACGGGAGGCAGCAGUGGGGAAUAUUGCACAAUGGGGGAAACCCUGAUGCAGCGAAGCCGCGUGAGUGAAGAAGUCUUUCGGUAUGUAAAGCUCUAUCAGCAGGGAAGAAAAAAGACGGUACCUGACUCAGAAGCCCCGGCUAACUACGUGCCAGCAGCCGCGGUAAUACGUAGGGGGCAAGCGUUAUACGGAUUUACUGGGUGUAAAGGGAGCGUAGACGGUGCGUCAAGUCUGAAGUGAAAGCCCUGGGCUUAACCCCGGGACUGCUUUGGAAACUGGCGCGCUAGAGUGCUGGAGAGGUAAGUGGAAUUCCUAGUGUAGCGGUGAAAUGCGUAGAUAUUAGGAGGAACACCAGUGGCGAAGGCGGCUUACUGGACAGUAACUGACGUUGAGGCUCGAAAGCGUGGGGAGCAAACAGGAUUAGAUACCCGAGUAGUC
RNAcentral lists this ribosomal RNA (441 nucleotides) under uncultured bacterium. Its description in RNAcentral is "partial 16S ribosomal RNA". It matches the Rfam family "Bacterial small subunit ribosomal RNA", at positions 338 to 795 of the family's 1533-position model. The record is from RNAcentral.